This is a long non-coding RNA of Brienomyrus brachyistius, 342 nucleotides long. RefSeq lists it as uncharacterized. The transcript has 3 exons. The record is from RefSeq and is a predicted model, not a curated record. Lineage: Eukaryota; Metazoa; Chordata; Actinopteri; Osteoglossiformes; Mormyridae.
GUUCCAUCUGGGAGCAGAAGCAGCCGCGAGCAGUCAGCUGGAGACCUGGGGGGCCCCGGUUGAGCAGCCAGCCUCCAUACCGGGGCGGGGGCCGGGUGCAUUCUGACUGACGUCAAGCUUGAAGCUGACCCUAAGGGUUGGUGUCUCCACAGACAGCCGUGACCUCUGGCUGUGUUUGGGCCGGAGAUCUUGUGGACUCUGGACUGUUUUGAUGGAAAAACUGGAGCAGACAUCGAGAAAAGCCACGACAAGAGGGGAGUGUGGACUCCCAAAAGGCGGGUAGCCCCACUUUACUUACGCUACACAAGCCGCAGAAGACAAAAAGUCUGUCGAUGACGAUGC